This is a long non-coding RNA of Marmota monax (woodchuck), 551 nucleotides long. RefSeq lists it as uncharacterized. The record is from RefSeq and is a predicted model, not a curated record. Lineage: Eukaryota; Metazoa; Chordata; Mammalia; Rodentia; Sciuridae. The transcript has 3 exons.
AAAAAAAAAAAUCUCAGCUUUAAGGCCUGUAAAAGUCUCAGGUUAAAAAAAAUCAAUUCCUUUUUGUUUACAAAAGAGUUAUGUGUCUGGGUCUUCCCCUACUUCAAGCCUUCAAAUUCAGAUAAUUUCCCCUAAUCUAUAUUUGGUUUGGCUUUUUUAUUCUUUUCUUUUUUUCAGGUACUGGAGAUUGAACACAGAGGUGCUUUACCACUGAGCUACAACUCAAGCCCUUAUUAGAGUCUCACUAAAUUGCCCAGGCUGGCUUCAAACUUGUGAUCCUCCUGCUUUAGCAUUCUGAGUAGCUGGGAUGACAGAGUGCUAAAGAGCCCACUGGAAGAGGCACACCUACUACCAAUGAAUGGAUAAAGAAAAUGUGGUGCACAUAUAUAAUGGACUAUUACUCAGCCUUAAAGAACAAUGAAAUUAUGACAUUUGCAGGCAGACCCAGAAAGUGGGGCCCAUGGGCCUAGCAUAACAAGAGCUUGGACCCUGGCCGUAGGUCUGCAAUCAUAGCCAACGCAGACAUGGGCCCCAGGCCUGGCUCUGCAAGC